RNAcentral lists this ribosomal RNA (427 nucleotides) under uncultured bacterium. RNAcentral describes it as "bacterial SSU rRNA". It matches the Rfam family "Bacterial small subunit ribosomal RNA", at positions 355 to 775 of the family's 1533-position model. The record is from RNAcentral.
UAGGGAAUCUUGGACAAUGGGCGCAAGCCUGAUCCAGCCAUGCCGCGUGAGUGAAGAAGGCCCUCGGGUCGUAAAGCUCUUUUCUGAGGGAAGAAAUACCGGUGAGGAAAUGCUCCGGGAUUGACGGUACCUCAGGAAUAAGGAACGGCUAACUCCGUGCCAGCAGCCGCGGUAAUACGGAGGUUCCAAGCGUUGUUCGGAAUUACUGGGCGUAAAGGGGGCGCAGGCGGAUUGGUCAGUGGAAAGUGGAAGCCCGGGGCUCAACCUCGGAUGUGCUUUCCAUACUGCCAAUCUUGAGUACGUGAGAGGAGAGCGGAAUUCAGGGUGUAGCGGUGAAAUGCUUAGAUAUCCUGAGGAACACCGGUGGCGAAAGCGGCUCUCUGGCACGAUACUGACGCUGAGGCCCGAAAGCGUGGGGAGCGAACGG